Papaver somniferum (opium poppy) is the source of this 540-nucleotide long non-coding RNA. RefSeq lists it as uncharacterized. Lineage: Eukaryota; Viridiplantae; Streptophyta; Magnoliopsida; Ranunculales; Papaveraceae. The transcript has 2 exons. The record is from RefSeq and is a predicted model, not a curated record.
AAUCAUCUUCAGCAUCUUUACUUGAGCAUAAAAACUAUUAUCGUUAACAAAAAACAUCCUGUUACUAAGUCAUGGCUAAGGUGUCUGGAUCAUCUUUCUUUGGUUUUUUCUUUGUUUUGGCAAUCUUAUUUGCUGCCGAGAUGGCAACAACCGAAGCUCAACUUGUAUGUGAUGUUGGAAAGCUAGUGAUACUAGGUGGUCCUUGCACUAAUUGUCCCUCUAAAUGUUUGAAGAAGUUCCCACUCCCCCUCAUUGUCACAAACCUUUGUGUUCCGGUAUUAGGAACAUCUGUCUGCGCUUGUUGCGUUGUCGAGCAGUCUGCUUAAAACCAAAUCCCUGAUGUCGUGUGUAGUUGGAUGCAGAUCAGCGAGCCAACACAACUUAUCUACCAUUUAAAUAAAUUUGGCUACUUGACUCGUCAUGUGUCUUGCUUAGCCAAUGCUGUUCUUCAGUUUAUGAAUGGGCUAAUAAGACCCAUUGUGUGAUGUUUUGUGUUUGUAACAUGUUUAAUGAAUGAAAUAUCUAUGUUUACGAAUUUAA